RNAcentral lists this ribosomal RNA (352 nucleotides) under Pseudomonas syringae pv. actinidiae ICMP 18807. RNAcentral describes it as "bacterial SSU rRNA". It matches the Rfam family "Bacterial small subunit ribosomal RNA", at positions 1182 to 1533 of the family's 1533-position model. The record is from RNAcentral. Lineage: Bacteria; Pseudomonadati; Pseudomonadota; Gammaproteobacteria; Pseudomonadales; Pseudomonadaceae.
ACGUCAAGUCAUCAUGGCCCUUACGGCCUGGGCUACACACGUGCUACAAUGGUCGGUACAGAGGGUUGCCAAGCCGCGAGGUGGAGCUAAUCUCACAAAACCGAUCGUAGUCCGGAUCGCAGUCUGCAACUCGACUGCGUGAAGUCGGAAUCGCUAGUAAUCGCGAAUCAGAAUGUCGCGGUGAAUACGUUCCCGGGCCUUGUACACACCGCCCGUCACACCAUGGGAGUGGGUUGCACCAGAAGUAGCUAGUCUAACCUUCGGGGGGACGGUUACCACGGUGUGAUUCAUGACUGGGGUGAAGUCGUAACAAGGUAGCCGUAGGGGAACCUGCGGCUGGAUCACCUCCUUA